UUACAGCCAUAUCACGUUGAAACACCAGUUCUCAUAUGAUCACUAAAGUUAAGCAACAUCAAACUUGAUUAGUACCUAGAUGGGUGACUGCUUGGGAAUACCAGGUGCUGUAAG
Non-coding RNA from Acanthosepion pharaonis, 114 nucleotides. The record is from the annotation of a GenBank genome assembly. NCBI's taxonomy places the organism in Eukaryota, Metazoa, Mollusca, Cephalopoda, Sepiida, Sepiidae.